GAGUGUGUUGCUGCUGUUCUGCUCUGCGUCCUCGCUACAAACGCCUGGUGGACAACAUAUUCCCUGAAGAUCCAAAAGAUGGCCUUGUUAAAGCGGACAUGGAGAAAUUGACAUUUUAUGCAGUAUCUGCUCCAGAGAAACUGGAUCGAAUUGGUUCUUACUUAGCAGAGAGGUUGAGCAGAGAUGUUGUCAGACAUCGUUCUGGGUAUGUUUUAAUUGCUAUGGAGGCGUUGGACCAACUUCUUAUGGCUUGCCAUUCUCAAAGCAUCAAGCCAUUUGUAGAAAGCUUUCUUCAUAUGGUAGCAAAGCUGCUAGAAUCAGGGGAACCAAAGCUUCAAGUUCUUGGAACAAAUUCUUUUGUCAAAUUUGCAAAUAUUGAAGAAGAUACACCAUCCUAUCACAGACGUUAUGACUUUUUUGUAUCUCGCUUCAGUGCCAUGUGUCAUUCCUGUCAUAGUGAUCCAGAAAUACGAACAGAAAUCCGAAUUGCUGGAAUCAGGGGUAUUCAAGGAGUGGUUCGCAAAACAGUUAAUGAUGAACUUCGGGCUACCAUUUGGGAACCCCAGCAUAUGGAUAAAAUUGUUCCAUCCCUGUUGUUUAACAUGCAAAAGAUAGAAGAGGUUGACAGUCGCACAGGUCCUCCUCCUUCCCCUUCUGCCGCUGACAAAGAAGAGAACCCCGCGGUGCUGGCCGAAAACUGUUUCAGAGAACUGCUGGGUCGAGCGACUUUUGGGAACAUGAAUAAUGCUGUCAGACCAGUUUUUGCGCAUUUAGACCAUCACAAACUAUGGGAUCCCAAUGAAUUUGCAGUUCACUGCUUUAAAAUUAUAAUGUAUUCCAUUCAGGCUCAGUAUUCUCACCAUGUAAUUCAGGAGAUCCUAGGACACCUUGAUGCUCGUAAAAAAGAUUCUCCACGGGUUCGAGCUGGUAUCAUCCAGGUUCUGUUAGAGGCUGUUGCCAUUGCUGCUAAAGGUUCCAUAGGACCCACAGUGCUGGAAGUCUUUAAUACUCUCCUAAAGCAUCUGCGUCUCAGUGUUGAAUUUGAAGCAAAUGACUUACAGGGGGGAUCUGUAGGCAGUGCUAACUUAAACUCAAGUUCCAAAGACAAUGAUGAGAAGAUUGUGCAGAAUGCUAUCAUCCAAACAAUAGGAUUUUUUGGAAGUAACCUACCGGAUUAUCAGAGGUCAGAAAUCAUGAUGUUCAUUAUGGGGAAAGUACCCGUUUUUGGAACAUCCACCCAUACUUUGGAUAUCAGUCAACUAGGGGAUUUGGGAACCAGGCGGAUUCAGAUAAUGUUGCUGAGAUCUUUACUUAUGGUAACCUCUGGAUACAAAGCAAAGACAAUUGUUACUGCACUGCCUGGAUCUUUUCUGGAUCCUUUGUUAUCACCAUCCCUCAUGGAAGACUAUGAACUGAGACAGUUAGUCUUGGAAGUAAUGCAUAAUCUCAUGGAUCGGCAUGACAAUAGGGCAAAACUUCGAGGGAUCAGAAUAAUACCAGAUGUAGCUGACCUAAAGAUAAAAAGAGAAAAAAUUUGUAGACAAGACACAAGUUUCAUGAAAAAGAAUGGGCAACAACUGUAUCGGCACAUAUAUUUGGGCUGUAAAGAGGAAGACAAUGUUCAGAAAAACUAUGAGCUACUUUAUACUUCUCUUGCUCUUAUAACUAUUGAAUUGGCCAAUGAAGAAGUGGUUAUUGAUCUCAUUCGAUUAGCCAUUGCUUUACAGGACAGUGCGAUUAUCAAUGAGGACAAUUUGCCCAUGUUCCAUCGCUGUGGGAUCAUGGCGCUAGUUGCGGCAUACCUCAACUUUGUAAGUCAGAUGAUAGCUGUCCCUGCUUUUUGCCAACAUAUUAGCAAGGUUAUUGAAAUUCGAACCAUGGAAGCCCCUUAUUUUCUACCAGAGCAUAUUUUCAGAGAUAAGUGCAUGCUUCCAAAAUCUUUAGAGAAGCAUGACAAAAAUUUAUACUUUUUGACCAACAAGAUUGCAGAGUCACUAGGCGGAAGCGGCUACAGUGUUGAGAGGUUAUCGGUACCGUAUGUACCACAAGUAACAGAUGAAGAUCGACUUUCUAGAAGAAAAAGUAUUGUGGACACCGUAUCCAUUCAGGUGGAUAUUUUACCCAACAGCAUUCCUUCUGAUGAUGUGAACAAAGCAACGGAAGAUGCCCAAGUUUAAUCUGACUUCAACUAGAAAUAUGAACCCUCAGUAGAAAACCUGAGGUAGUGGAACGCUUGCUGCUUGAUUUCCAGCUAAAGCCUUUGUAUUACAGAGAAGCUAAGGUGCAAAGCAUGAAGUCUUGCUUUCGUUAGUCUUGCUGCCUUAGACUUAGCAAAAGACGCUCAUGAGCUAAAAUUAGGGAUGACCAGAGGCCCAGGUUAGUAACACUGAAGAAAUCACCUUUGAAGCAUUGAAGAAAGCAAUCGAUACCAGUGGUAUGGAAGAACAGGAAAAGGAAAAGAGGCGUCUUGUGAUAGAGAAAUUCCAGAAAGCACCUUUUGAAGAAAUAGCAGCACAGUGUGAAUCCAAAGCAAAUUUGCUUCAUGAUAGACUUGCUCAAAUACUGGAACUCACCAUACGCCCUCCUCCCAGUCCAUCAGGAACACUGACCAUUACUUCUGGGCAUGCCCAGUACCAGUCCGUCCCAGUCUAUGAGAUGAAGUUUCCAGAUCUGUGUGUGUACUGAGUGGCUCAUGAAGACCUCAGCGUAGGAUCUAAAGCCGAAAAAUGAAGGCCACGCUGAGUUUUCAAGGGUUUACUUAAUACUUAAUGUGUAUUAACAUAAUGGUUGAGAAUAACAGUGAGACUUCUCUUCAACCAAACACUUGGCUCACACCACAUUAGAAAUGGUGGAGCCAUCCAUGAUUUAGAAUACUUGAGAAGAUGGAUUUCUUUUGCAGUUCCUGUUGGCUUUCGAAGUUGGACAUGUAUUGAUCUCCUGUUAUUCCACAGUUAAGCAGUAUAUUUUAAACUUUUCACAAACAUGUAAUUUUAAAACAUGCCUCCAGAGGGUUGAAGAUGUAUGAAGUGUCUACUGUAUUUCUUAAACAUCUGCACAGCUGCUUAGAAAUAGAAUUGCUUUUGUGUUUGUUUAUCUGCAAAAGCAAAUACAUACAAAUAUAUUGCUAAUCUUGGGGCUGCAAAACUGUUCUGUGGCUUGUUGUCCCCAUGUUUUAGAUGUUGUGAUCUAUAAUAACAUGUGAUAGGCAUUCCUCAACUUGUUUAUGGUAAUAAGACAUUUGUUGAGUAAUAUUCCCAGAAUAUGACCAACCCUAAAAUCGCCAUAUUUAGAGGUGUCUAGUUCUUGUAAUACUGUGUUUUCUGCCAAGAGUUUGACCAUUCUACUUGAGAAAAGCUUAGAGCUUACUCUUGGCAUACCAAACUGUGCAAUAUUUUUUUACAUCAUAAGAUGUAUUCGUUUACAGACUAUACUUUGAAAUUAUAGUAGUAUUUUGCUGUGGCUCCAUUAAUUAAAUCAGAUCUAUAUUUAGUGUAGGAAAAAAAGACUUUUAAAACAGCUACGAGUUCACCUGUGAAGAGUGUGUACAUUUUGAGUUCUAUCAAAAGCACAUUACUUACAUUUUUAUAUUGUGCAUUAUUUAAAAUCUUCGUAGUCAGAAAAUUCUCCAAAUGGACUUUUAAUUUGUAAGAUUUGAACUGUUCAGUUGUAUACAUUUGUUUAGGAUUUGGUGUAUUCCAUUUGAAAAGAGUGCCUAUGGCUUUAGCAAUCAAGCGUGCUAAGGAUCGUCAAUGUGAGCUUCUGUUGAGUUAAGUUACCAAGGUUACAUGUGUACUCUACACAUGUGCUCAGAGACCUGUAGUGUUUUCUUAAAAUUGUGUGCAUUUUAGUGAAUUCCAUCACACAGCAAAAAUGAACGACUUUCUUUGCAAGUCUUAUAAAAUUCUCGUAGGACAUUUUUAUAGAAUAACCUCUUUAUAACUGUAUUGCCUUUUCAGAUUCAGUUUCUUUUUACAAAGAACAAUAUACAUAUCAAAAAUUGUAGCUCAAAAACUAACUCAGUUUUUAUCUUUUGUUUUUGUUUGAAAACUUACAGUGAGAAUGGCAGGUUAUAAGUUUGAGUUUAUGAUUAUUAGGCACCUGUACAAGAAACAGAGAAAGGUCAGGAAAUAACAAAAGAACAAGCGUACCCCAGAUUUUUUUAAUAAAUGAAGUACAGCAUCUUGAAACAUCUUGCAAAAUAGCCUAGUCAUUGAAACCCAUAAAAUGAUACUCAGCCCUCCUGGGCAGUGUGUUAAAUGUAGGUAAGCAAGACCUUGUUUCAGAAUGAUAGUGCAGGCGUUGAACGGCCUUCUUGCAGCUGUCGCUGUAACUUUGCCUCUUGAUUGGGUAAGAUGUGUCAUCAUAUAAUAGGCCAAGUUUUCUGUUUUUUUAUUUCCCUUUUUUUCUUCUGUAUUUUUAAAGAAGUGUAUUAAUUUUUGUGCAUUUAACAAAAUCUAAGCAGGGGGACAUGCAAAAAAACAAUCAUCAUCCACUUGGAUGUCAUUUUAUAGAUUAACACUGUGUGCUUUUGUAUGAAAAACAUAUAUAAUUGAAUAGUAUAAGUAAAGGAGAUCUAUAUUCAAUUGCACUCAUGCAAACAAACUUUACAAAAUUUCAUGUUUCUCUGUGGUAUAAGAAAUGCAUGUAUUGCAUGUAAAGGAAAACCAUUUGAAUUAAUGUUUAUCACACCUUUCUCUUGGUCUGUUUGUCAACUGUUGAUGUGGGGUUUGCAGGGUUUUUUUUCUUGUUGUUUUUAAAUCACAGUAGACUUCUAUAUGUCCUAGAUGACUGAACUGGUCUUGUUAAUAAUGAUUCCCCAAAAGUGGGUCUUUUCUUUGUUUGUCCUUUCCAGGAAAUUGCAGGACAUCCUGCCAGGUAAUGGGUGUGUGUUCUGUAUUCUAGCCAGUUUGGAGACAGAAAGUUUAGGAUUUGUUGAAGUUCACCGUAUGGCUAUAUUUUUGUAGAUAUUUAAAACUCUUAAUAAACUGUUAAUCAUUCUCUUUUUGCUGCAUACACUUGCUUUGUUUUUUUCCUUGACACUGAAUAGCUAACAUAUAAACAUUCCUUAUAUUUGUGUUGACUUUGCUUAUAAAGAGUUCGACUGUCAUUGGAAUUCACCUGAAUACACACACACGUGCCGGUGUACACAACACAAACACCCCUUAAUGCUUCUGAACUCAUUAUCUUUUAGAAUAAUACCACACUUUACCAGCAAUUAACAUUUCUCUUCCUCCUAUCUGAACAUGGAACUCAUUUGUCUUAUCCAUGCCAAUAUAUGUAAUAAAUGUAACAGUGAGGUUUUUUUGAAAUGUAAAAAUUUACUUUGCAAUUCAUAUGUAAGCAAUAAAACAAAAUCAAAUUA
RNA transcript from Zalophus californianus (California sea lion), 5362 nucleotides. It is a transcript of the gene named EFR3 homolog A, with no coding region annotated. Lineage: Eukaryota; Metazoa; Chordata; Mammalia; Carnivora; Otariidae. The record is from RefSeq and is a predicted model, not a curated record. The transcript has 23 exons.